GGGCCUUGCUCAAGGGCACCUCAGUCGUGGCCGGCCCGAGACUCGAACCCACAACCUUUGGGUUACGAAUCAGACUCUCUAACCAUUAGGCCACCUCGAGGCCAGACAGAGUGUGUCUGUGUCCGAAGCAGUGAGACUUUUGAGUUUAAAAGCCCGACGUUUUGUUCAUUUUUGUCCGAAGUACUGGAGCUGUGAAUAGAUAGACUAACGCUUAACUACAUAGCUUGUAGUCACAGAAACUGUGUAAAGUUUAAAGACUUAGAUUUAAGGAAAGCUGUGAGUUUGUAAAAAUGGAACAGCUGAUUGUUAAGUACAUCGCUAAACACGGUUCUCAGGGAAUGUUUGAUGGAAUAGAGAACAUGGUUGAUAUACCGUAUGAGUAUGAGGGCUAUUUCUAAGUUUGAAAAUGACCCUAAAAUGCCCAAGAACAAAAAAAGGACAGAUUGCCAAUGCACUGCAAGCAGUUCUUGCAUCGUACAAAGUCACUAGAAAGGCUUUAAAUGCAUUGAAGGCUGAAAAUGAGCAACUGCAAUCUCGACUAGAUGAUGGGAUAAUAUCUAAAAGAGAUUACCAGAUGAGUGAAAGAAGAACAGAUUAGGAUGCAGAGUGAGAUUGCACGCCGUAAAACUAACAUAACAAAACUAAGCAUGUUUAGUUCAUCUGUGGAAACAUUGUUCAAAGAUUUACAGGAAGCAAAGUCUGUUUGUCAAUUCCUGAUAAAAAAUGGCACAACUGAAACUAGCAGCAGUAAGACAUCUGUAUGUGGCAUGUGGAGUAAUCAGGUUCCUGAGUUGUUAAACAGUGAUGAGAACUCAGACAGAGAUUCUCAGUCAGUCAGCAGUAAAUACUCUGACUGUACAGUUAAGUUCCCCAUGGCUCCAGUUCACUUGACUACAACUAUGUGUGCUAGUGAAGAAACGGAGGAACCAGUGACCUCUACUGUGGUAAGAGGGUUUAAACCCAGUGAGCUACAAGCUGUGAUUAAAAGUAUUGGUAAAUUUGAUCCCGCCAAACAAGAUCCAUUAGACUUUCUGAAGGUUUUCGAGCUAUAUGCUGACAUUUACAAAUCCACAGCUGGUGAUGUGUGUGUGUUGUUAACUGUGUGUUUGCCUGACACUUUGUCUGGAGCGUUAAAUGAGAAAGUCAAAACUAGAACUGACGAUAAGUUAGAGAGGAAACAAGCACUGCUUGAAGUCCUAGGUGUAAUGCCAGGUGACUGGGAUAAGAUAUCUGAUGUACACAUGAGGACAGGGAGCACCCCAGGGCAUUCUCACAGCGAUUAUUGGAGACAUUUAAAACUUUCAGUGGCAAUCCUGACAUCACUCCGAAUGAUGUCAGUUUUAAAUCUGCUUUGAUUAACAAAUGUGACUCACUCACCCGUUCUGCUGUGUCGAUGUUUGUAACCCAUCUGUCUGAUUAUAACAACAUCAUUGCUAAAAUGACAGUUUUUCAACAACAAUGCUAAGACAAAGAGUCCCAUCCUGUGUCAGCAGUAGGUGUUAAAAAUCUCAAUAAGAAUAGCACCAGCCAGAUUUCUUGUGAAAAAUGAGAACUACACUACUGCAGAUAGAAAGGAAAGACUACCCCCUCGUAACCCUGAUAACCUCCUGGUGUGUUAUUCAUGUGGCAAUGAGGGACAUAUUUCAAGGGAAUGCAAAUUUUCCCUUAAGAGAUCAGGCCCCAAAACAGAUUUACACCAGUUACAGGCUACAGUAAACAGACUGAGGACGAAGCUCAAACAUCUGUGUAACUCCUGGCCUGGUGUUGUUCACCAAACUACUCAACAAAUUUGGCAAAGUCAGAAAAACAGAAUACAUUCUGGUCAGAAUGUGCACCAUCACAAAUUUGACAGUAGUGAUGACGUCGUGGUAAAGAAUGACCAAAAUGAGGGCCCAUGUUCUGCUCACCGGGAGAGACCAUGCAGAAAUUCACAUCACAGAACUAAAAACCGUCAACCUGGUAAGAGAUCAUUCCACAUAGGUCAAUUAAUAUCAUAAAAAACUGAUGGCAGUCAUCAGGGCCGUGUAAAUAGGCAAGCUUAUGUUGUAUGUGUUUGUAAUGUUUUUUGUGUGUGCUGUGUUUUAAAAAAAAGGGGGGGGGUAUAAAUUUCAAAAUGUUUUCAACUGUUUUUCAGGUCAAAAAGAAAUAGAUGUGGGGAUGGACUAGGAAGGCAGUUCUCGUGACAGCAUUAAAGGUACAGCAGUGCCCAACGCUGUCCUAAAGUGCUUAUCUACAAUGGAUCCAGGUUCCGGUCUUGGUGAACCUUACAGCCUGAUCUCCAGACCCAGAUGAACAGUGUAACAGGAAUGUAUAAGGUCUUCUUGACAACAGCGUUCCUGAGGUAUCGCAGUGAUGUCGGAACCAGUUCAUCACCUCCUCAGAGAACAUCUUCAACAGCCAUUUAUGCUGCGGCUCCUGGGGAGCAGUGGAUUACGAGUCGGACUCUCUAACCAUUAGGCCACGACUUGCCCCAGGGUUUUCGCAUAUCCCAAGUUAUGGGGUCAGAGCGCAGGGUCAAGCCAUAGGGAUGGCGCCCCUGGAGCAGGUGAGGUUAUGGAUCUUGCCCAAGGAACCAACGUUGAUGUCUCAGCAGCUUGUGGACUCGAACCCCGACCUUCUGAUCAAGAUCCCAGCGCAUUAACUGCUGGAUCAUCACGUCCUCACAAAUUUGUUUCUCUGGACAUGUGACUGCUAAACUUUCUAACAUCUGUAUUAAAUUUUAAAUCACACAUGACACUGACACAUGAUAAGCAAAUGAUUCACUUCUUUUGCACAACGCUUUCGUGUGUUGAUCGUUUUCAGUGAUAUCUUGCAAUGACCAUCAAUGAAUAAUUUAAGUAACAUGAUUGUGUAAUGUUUCAGAUCAGUGCUAGAGGUCGCUGUUGUACUAAGGAAUUCUUCAACAAUCCAUACCUUCCAAUGAAUAUGAACUUAAAUAUUGAAUUAACUAAAUUAUUUACUAAAUUGAUAUAAAAACCCAGUAUUUUGGUACUAUUAAAUAUUAUGCUACUAUUACUAUUAUUGCUAAUAAUAAUAAUAUUAUCUAGGUAUAUAUGUAUGUAUUUAAUUACGCCUUUUUAAGUGUUUACAAUGAAUAAUUCCUGCAUGUGUUUUUAUUUCAUUUAUUAUUGUUUUCUAUUUCUUCACGAUGUAAUUUUACUUUCAGUUUUACUAUCCAUCUGACAGACUGAACCUGUUUAAACACUUCCUCUUGGGACACUUUGUCAUGGUGUCUCACUUUCCGCUUUCUGAGAAAAUGGUUUUAAUUCAAUGUGACAUUCACCUUUUAAAGUAUCAGCAGACUUCAAGGUCAUUAGAACAGUAACGAGACCUCAGGCCUCUGAUUCCUGUGUGGAAAAUAUUAACAAGAAGGAAUUCAGAUGUGGGAUUAAAUACAGAAAUCAGAAUGUUUACUCUGUUUUAAGAUUGAAAACAAAAUACAAACUUUUAUGUGU
Tachysurus fulvidraco (yellow catfish) is the source of this 3455-nucleotide long non-coding RNA. RefSeq lists it as uncharacterized. Lineage: Eukaryota; Metazoa; Chordata; Actinopteri; Siluriformes; Bagridae. The transcript has 2 exons. The record is from RefSeq and is a predicted model, not a curated record.